GGACUGGUUUUAGCUCAGCAGUUAUUUCGACAGUGCACACUGCUUGGUACCUGCCAUUCGUGGUUGUGUUCCAGCUCCACCACCAACUAUGUACAAAACCUGUGGGUUGUUGGUUCGAGACCAGCAGGUGCUCUCCAAUCCUUUA
Unclassified non-coding RNA from Mesocricetus auratus (golden hamster), 145 nucleotides. Its record names the gene Vault. It matches the Rfam family "Vault RNA". Rfam says of the family: This family of RNAs are found as part of the enigmatic vault ribonucleoprotein complex. The complex consists of a major vault protein (MVP), two minor vault proteins (VPARP and TEP1), and several small untranslated RNA molecules. The record is from Ensembl. NCBI's taxonomy places the organism in Eukaryota, Metazoa, Chordata, Mammalia, Rodentia, Cricetidae.